GAUGGACGCAGACAACGAUAUAUUUCUGACGCAGUCAGUUUUUAAAGAAUCGGCAUCCUGUGCUGAAGAAGACAAGGAAAGUGAUGACUUUAAAUUCCGUUUAGGAGAUCCACUCUCCGAGCGUGAAAUAACCUUACAAGUUACCGUCAAAAGACUGUGCAAGACGUCCGGUAUUGAGGGCAUGAAGAUAAACCAUUCCUUGAGAGCCACGGCAGCCACUCGAUUGUAACAAGGUGACGUUGAUGAACAAAUGAUUUGCGAAAUUACCGGACAUCUGAGCGACGCCGUUCGAAAUUACAAGAGAACUUCUGACAACCAAAAGGCAACGGUCUCCGACAUACUUAGUAUUUUGAAAAAAAUGAACUCGCCAUCACGUGAAGAAGCUGAUCCAAAAAGAGCAGAUGACCAAUGACCUGAAGACAAACUAAAUCGAACUGUGACGCUCAAUUUCAAUUUCAUCUAAUAUCAAUAAAUAGUUGAGCCAUGUUCUGUUGUUGUUUUUUUCAUGCAGAAAGGUAAUUCAAUACAGAGGGUAUUUUUCGGGAC
Molecule: long non-coding RNA, 546 nt
Organism: Haliotis rufescens (red abalone)
Lineage: Eukaryota; Metazoa; Mollusca; Gastropoda; Lepetellida; Haliotidae
Exons: 2
Source: RefSeq, a predicted model, not a curated record